This 472-nucleotide ribosomal RNA is filed under the name uncultured bacterium. Its description in RNAcentral is "partial 16S ribosomal RNA". It matches the Rfam family "Bacterial small subunit ribosomal RNA", at positions 28 to 507 of the family's 1533-position model. The record is from RNAcentral.
GACGAACGCUGGCGGCGUGCUUAACACAUGCAAGUCGAACGCUGAAGCUUGGUGCUUGCACUGGGUGGAUGAGUGGCGAACGGGUGAGUAAUACGUGAGUAACCUACCCUUGACUCUGGGAUAAGCCUGGGAAACUGGGUCUAAUACUGGAUACGACAUGUCACCGCAUGGUGGUGUGUGGAAAGGGUUUUACUGGUUUUGGAUGGGCUCACGGCCUAUCAGCUUGUUGGUGGGGUAAUGGCUCACCAAGGCGACGACGGGUAGCCGGCCUGAGAGGGUGACCGGCCACACUGGGACUGAGACACGGCCCAGACUCCUACGGGAGGCAGCAGUGGGGAAUAUUGCACAAUGGGCGGAAGCCUGAUGCAGCGACGCCGCGUGAGGGAUGACGGCCUUCGGGUUGUAAACCUCUUUCAGCACGGAAGAAGCGAAAGUGACGGUACGUGCAGAAGAAGCGCCGGCUAACUACGUG